RNAcentral lists this long non-coding RNA (344 nucleotides) under Hordeum vulgare. Its description in RNAcentral is "long non-coding RNA (HVUL_LNC006498)". Lineage: Eukaryota; Viridiplantae; Streptophyta; Magnoliopsida; Poales; Poaceae. The record is from RNAcentral.
AUCAACCAUCCACGCACACAGCCAUACAUCCAUCCAUCACGUAGCAUACAUCCAUCUACUCCAGAGGAUCCAUCAACCAUCCACGCACACAGCCAUACAUCCAUCCAUCACGUAACAUACAUCCAUCUACUCCAGAGAUCCAUCAACCACACAGAUCACCAGACCGAUCCAUUCGCCAACGUAGCACACAUCCGUGCACCCCAUUCAUCAAUCACGUAGCAGGAGAUACGUGAAGGCCGGCGGAGGAGAGAAGUACCCGAAGAGCCGGUUAGAUGCUAGAAGAUCUCCGGCGAACCCUAUCACGCACCGGAUCGCCGGUCGGACGAGGGACGCCUGUAUCUACG